UGCUAGUUGCCUAUUAAGUUUUUGAGAGAGAAUUUAUUUCUCUCAAUUGUGUGUUCUCUCUUCUUGCACUCAAGGAUUCUAGCAAACUUCCUUGCAUGUGGAUUAGCUUCCGUGCCUUCGUGUGGACUUCUCAAGAGCAAUUCCGUCUUGAAUUAACUAGCGAAAAGUAAAUCGAAGAACCUGAAGGAGCCUCCAAAUGCAGGAAACAAUGCAAGCGCUACUAUGUGGAGGUGAUUGGUGUCACAAUCUCAAUGGAGUGAAGAAAAAGAGCAAAAAAGAGAAGAAACCAGUGGAGAUUAAGCUUCAUAUCCCUUCAAUUGAUGGAAAUCAAGAGAUUGUUUGAUCCUCCCAAGACUGUUUGAUCUUCGGGACUCAUUGGCAGAUGUUGAGAAUGGACUUGUUUGUUGGGAAGUAUUGAAGACCAAUUUUUACAUGGAAUACAUAGAAAUGUAUUUAAGCUGCAUGCUGGGUUUGGGCCAUUUUCAGAAAGAGAUGAUUAAUUUAAUGAGAAGUAAAGAGUAGCAAGAAAAACCAGGAAAGUGUGAGAAGGAGAGGGAAAAUUUGAGAGAAAAUUUCCUUAAGAGACGUGUUGUAUUUUUCAUUAGUUUGUGAAGUAUUACACGGUUUCUUUAUGUACAAAAUGGACUGUGGUCAACAAGUCAACACAAUUCAGUCAACCAUACACCUACUUCACAAUGUGUAACAACUUUCACUUUUCCUAACAUCCUCCCCUAAACCAAACCUCCUUAGCACUCAGCCAACAAGUUAUUUGUUACAUUCUCUGUACCUUUUCACAAAUCCUAACAUUCUCGCGUAAACUAAACUUCCAUAAGACUAAAAGAAAGACCACAGUUUUGACUAAUGCUUCC
Long non-coding RNA from Pistacia vera, 869 nucleotides. RefSeq lists it as uncharacterized. The record is from RefSeq and is a predicted model, not a curated record. The transcript has 4 exons. NCBI's taxonomy places the organism in Eukaryota, Viridiplantae, Streptophyta, Magnoliopsida, Sapindales, Anacardiaceae.